CCUACGGGUGGCAGCAGUGGGGAAUAUUGGGCAAUGGGCGCGAGCCUGACCCAGCAACGCCGCGUGAAGGAAGAAUGCUUUCGGGUUGUAAACUUCUUUUCUCAGGGACGAAGCAAGUGACGGUACCUGAGGAAUAAGCCACGGCUAACGACGUGCCAGCAGCCGCGGUAAUACGGAGGUGGCAAGCGUUAUCCGGAUUUACUGGGUUUAAAGGGCGUGUAGGAGGGAAAGCAAGUCAGAUGUGAAAACCAUGGGCUCAACCUGUGGACUGCAUUUGAAACUGUCUUUCGUGAGUACUGGAGAGGCAGACGGAAUUCGUAGUGUAGCGGUGAAAUGCGUAGAUAUUAGGAAGAACACCAGUGGCGAAGGCGGUCUGCUGGACAGCAACUGACGCUGAGGCGCGAAAGCGUGGGGAGCAAACAGGAUUAGAUACCCGUGUAGUC
This 443-nucleotide ribosomal RNA is filed under the name uncultured bacterium. Its description in RNAcentral is "partial 16S ribosomal RNA". It matches the Rfam family "Bacterial small subunit ribosomal RNA", at positions 338 to 795 of the family's 1533-position model. The record is from RNAcentral.